UGGAUCACCUCCUAACAGGGAGACAACAAAAUGUUAAAUAUUAAUUUUGUCACCUUAGGUCGAUCGGUAUCUCACAUUCUUAAUUUAUUAAGGAUUUCAUUUCCUAAGUUUUUCUAGGUCACACCCAUUUUUCCUGGGCCAUUAGCUCAGGUGGUUAGAGCGCACCCCUGAUAAGGGUGAGGUCCCUGGUUCAAGUCCAGGAUGGCCCAUAUCUCUAUGUUGGGGGUAUAGCUCAGUUGGUAGAGCGCCUGCUUUGCAAGCAGGAUGUCAGCGGUUCGAGUCCGCUUACCUCCACUGAUUACCACCUCUUCCAUAAUUAAAGGAAAAUGUUUUGGGUUGUGAUCAAAUUCUGAACGAAUCUAGCUUCCUAGUGAAACCGCUAAGAUGCUGGACUCAUUGAAUUGAUUUCAUUGUUUUCAGAGAACCUUGACAACUGCAUAGAUUAUUUUUAAAGACAAUAAGCAUCUUUAAUGAUGCAGAUUUAUUAUUUGUGCGAAUGCAUUAAUAACAAUUCUAUUAAGCUGAUGCUUCAAUUUUUGAAGUUAUUGGUCAAGCUACAAAGGGCUCACGGAGGAUACCUAGGCACACAGAGGCGAUGAAGG
This 602-nucleotide transfer RNA is filed under the name uncultured Prochlorococcus sp. RNAcentral's name for it is "partial contains 16S ribosomal RNA, 16S-23S ribosomal RNA intergenic spacer, and 23S ribosomal RNA". The stretch from base 222 to 294 matches the Rfam family "tRNA". The record is from RNAcentral. Lineage: Bacteria; Bacillati; Cyanobacteriota; Cyanophyceae; Synechococcales; Prochlorococcaceae.